This 292-nucleotide ribosomal RNA is filed under the name uncultured bacterium. RNAcentral describes it as "partial 16S ribosomal RNA". It matches the Rfam family "Bacterial small subunit ribosomal RNA", at positions 505 to 796 of the family's 1533-position model. The record is from RNAcentral.
GUGCCAGCCGCCGCGGUAAUACGUAGGGUGCAAGCGUUGUCCGGAAUUAUUGGGCGUAAAGAGCUCGUAGGCGGUUUGUCGCGUCUGCUGUGAAAACCCGAGGCUCAACCUCGGGCCUGCAGUGGGUACGGGCAGACUAGAGUGCGGUAGGGGAGAUUGGAAUUCCUGGUGUAGCGGUGGAAUGCGCAGAUAUCAGGAGGAACACCAAUGGCGAAGGCAGAUCUCUGGGCCGUAACUGACGCUGAGGAGCGAAAGCAUGGGGAGCGAACAGGAUUAGAAACCCGGGUAGUCC